Molecule: ribosomal RNA, 527 nt
Filed under: uncultured endophytic bacterium
Lineage: Bacteria
Description: bacterial SSU rRNA
Rfam family: Bacterial small subunit ribosomal RNA
Source: RNAcentral
AGAGUUUGAUCCUGGCUCAGAUUGAACGCUGGCGGCAGGCCUAACACAUGCAAGUCGGACGGUAGCACAGAGGAGCUUGCUCCUUGGGUGACGAGUGGCGGACGGGUGAGUAAUGUCUGGGGAUCUGCCCGAUAGAGGGGGAUAACCACUGGAAACGGUGGCUAAUACCGCAUAACGUCGCAAGACCAAAGAGGGGGACCUUCGGGCCUCUCACUAUCGGAUGAACCCAGAUGGGAUUAGCUAGUAGGCGGGGUAAUGGCCCACCUAGGCGACGAUCCCUAGCUGGUCUGAGAGGAUGACCAGCCACACUGGAACUGAGACACGGUCCAGACUCCUACGGGAGGCAGCAGUGGGGAAUAUUGCACAAUGGGCGCAAGCCUGAUGCAGCCAUGCCGCGUGUAUGAAGAAGGCCUUCGGGUUGUAAAGUACUUUCAGCGGGGAGGAAGGCGAUGCGGUUAAUAACCGCGUCGAUUGACGUUACCCGCAGAAGAAGCACCGGCUAACUCCGUGCCAGCAGCCGCGGUAAU